AUUGAACGCUGGCGGCAGGCUUAACACAUGCAAGUCGAACGGUAGCAGGAGAAAGCUUGCUUUCUUGCUGACGAGUGGCGGACGGGUGAGUAAUGCUUGGGAAUCUGGCUUAUGGAGGGGGAUAACUACGGGAAACUGUAGCUAAUACCGCGUAAUAUCGAAAGAUUAAAGUGUGGGACCUUCGGGCCACAUGCCAUAAGAUGAGCCCAAGUGGGAUUAGGUAGUUGGUGGGGUAAAGGCCUACCAAGCCGACGAUCUCUAGCUGGUCUGAGAGGAUGACCAGCCACACUGGAACUGAGACACGGUCCAGACUCCUACGGGAGGCAGCAGUGGGGAAUAUUGCGCAAUGGGGGGAACCCUGACGCAGCCAUGCCGCGUGAAUGAAGAAGGCCUUCGGGUUGUAAAGUUCUUUCGGUAUUGAGGAAGGGAUGUGUGCUAAUAGUAGACAUCAUUGACGUUAAAUACAGAAGAAGCACCGGCUAACUCCGUGCCAGCAGCCGCGGUAAUACGGAGGGUGCGAGCGUUAAUCGGAAUAACUGGGCGUAAAGGGCACGCAGGCGGUUAUUUAAGUGAGGUGUGAAAGCCCCGGGCUUAACCUGGGAAUUGCAUUUCAGACUGGGUAACUAGAGUACUUUAGGGAGGGGUAGAAUUCCACGUGUAGCGGUGAAAUGCGUAGAGAUGUGGAGGAAUACCGAAGGCGAAGGCAGCCCCUUGGGAAUGUACUGACGCUCAUGUGCGAAAGCGUGGGGAGCAAACAGG
This 759-nucleotide ribosomal RNA is filed under the name uncultured Haemophilus sp. RNAcentral describes it as "bacterial SSU rRNA". It matches the Rfam family "Bacterial small subunit ribosomal RNA", at positions 28 to 776 of the family's 1533-position model. Lineage: Bacteria; Pseudomonadati; Pseudomonadota; Gammaproteobacteria; Pasteurellales; Pasteurellaceae. The record is from RNAcentral.